UACGGAGGGUGCGAGCGUUAAUCGGAAUUACUGGGCGUAAAGCGCAUGCAGGUGGUUCAUUAAGUCAGAUGUGAAAGCCCGGGGCUCAACCUCGGAACUGCAUUUGAAACUGGUGAACUAGAGUACUGUAGAGGGGGUAGAAUUUCAGGUGUAGCGGUGAAAUGCGUAGAGAUCUGAAGGAAUACCAGUGGCGAAGGCGGCCCCCUGGACAGAUACUGACACUCAGAUGCGAAAGCGUGGGGAGCAAACAGG
Molecule: ribosomal RNA, 252 nt
Filed under: uncultured bacterium
Lineage: Bacteria
Description: partial 16S ribosomal RNA
Rfam family: Bacterial small subunit ribosomal RNA
Source: RNAcentral